Molecule: long non-coding RNA, 1439 nt
Organism: Cebus imitator (Panamanian white-faced capuchin)
Lineage: Eukaryota; Metazoa; Chordata; Mammalia; Primates; Cebidae
Exons: 5
Source: RefSeq, a predicted model, not a curated record
AGGGGCAGUGGGGAGCCUUCCCCAUCUCCUGUAGAUCUCCCGGGAUGGCCUCCCACGAGGAGGGGAGGAAAUGGGAUCAGAGCUAGAAUAUCGCCCUCCCUUGAAUGGAGAAUGGCAUGAGUUUCCUCUGAGGCCCCUUCUGCUCUCUAGGACAAUUAAAGGAUGACUUCUCUGAGGACAUGGAGGGGAAGACAGUCCCUGGAAUACUGAUCAGGGGCCCCCUUUGACCCCUGCAGCCGCCUUGGGCACCGUGACUUUUUCUCUCAGGCCUUGUUCUCUGCCUCACACUCAAAUGUUUGAAGGUCUGAUUCCAGCUUUUCUGAGUCCUGCCUCCACUCAGGUCAGGACCAGAAAUCGCAGUUCCUCCCUCAGAGACUAGAACUUUCCACAGAAUAGGAGAUUAUCCCAAGUACCUGUGUCCAGGCUGCUGUCAGGGUUCUGUGCUCCCUUCCCCACCCCAGGUGUCCUGUCCAUUCUAAGAUGGUCACAUCGGUGCUGCUGUGUUGUCCCAUGAAAGAUACAAAAUGCCUGAAUUUUCUGACUCAUCCCGUCAGAUCCCCCAAAGACACAUGUGACCCACCAACCCAUCUCUGACCAUGAGGCCACCCUGAGGUGCUGGGCCCUGGGCUUCUACCCUGCGGAGAUCAGACUGACCUGGCAGCGGGAUGGGGAGGACCAAACUCAGGACACGGAGCUUGUGGAGACCAGGCCAGCAGGGGAUGGAACUUUCCAGAAGUGGGCAGCUGUAGUGGUGCCUUCCGGAGAAGAGCAGAGAUACACGUGCCAUGUGCAGCACGAGGGGCUGCCGGAGCCCCUCACCCUGAGAUGGGAGCCGUCUUCCCAGCUCACCAUCCCUAUCGUGGGCAUCAUUGCUGUGGCUGUCCUAGGAGCUGUGGUCAUCGGAGCUGUGGUCACUGCUGUGAUGUGGAGGAGAAAGAGCUCAGGUGGAAAAGGAGGGAGCUACUCUCAGGCUGCGUGCAGCGACAGUGCCCAGGGCUCUGAUGUGUCUCUCAGGGCUUGUAAAGCCUGAGACAGCUGCUUGUGUGGGACUGAGAUGCAGGAUUUCUUCACACCUCCCCUUUGUGACUUUAGGAGCCUCUGGCAUCUCUUUCUGCAAAGGUGUCUGAAUGUGUCUGCGUCCCUGUUAGCAUAAUGUGAGGAGGUGGAGAGACAGCCCACCCUGUGUCCACCGUGACCCUUGUCCCCACGCUGAGCUGUGUUCCCUCCCCAGUCAUCUUUCCUGUUCCAGAGACCUGGGGCUGGGUGUCUCCAUCUGUGUCUCAACUUCAUGGUGCACUGAGCUGCAACCUCUUACUUUCUUAAUGAAAAUAAGAAUCUGAAAAUAAAUGUGUUUUCUCAAAUAUUUUCCAUGAAAGGUUGAUGGAUUAAUAAGUCAAUUCCUGAAAUUUGAGAGAGGAAAUAAAGACCUGAGAACCUUC